CUCCCAUAAGCGAUGUUGAAUCAAACAAUCAUACAAAUACAGCGGGCCUGUAUAUUUUCAAAUGUUAACUGGGUUUAGUGUGUAUUAUUUGGAUACAUGUGGGCUGGUACUUACACCUUUAUUGUUCCUCAUUUCAAUAGCUUCCAUUGAGGAAAAUAAAUAUAUGAAAAUGAUAUGAAAAUAAACCAAAACAGUAUGUCAAUUCACCUUCCUCACUACUCUCACACCGAACACACCCACAGUUCCAUUAACCUGCCUUUUUCUUUUAUAUUUUCUAUUUGGAUUGCAACCAUGAGUAUUUGGUUAGUUGCUGUUAGAAAGUGGCAAAGCCAAAUAUUGGUUUGAAUUGGAUGAGUUUCAAGCUGCCACAAAUCAGUAAGUUUACACACUGGUCUAAAACGACAGAUUUUUCUUUAAAGAACCAGUGUGUAAACUUUCUUCUGAACACUUCACGUUACGUUUUUCAGGCAAAACAUGUCUACUAGCUGCCAUACAUUCUCUUUCUUUUAAUGCUGUAAUUCCUCGUGUGCAGGGUGCGAGUCGAUCCUGCCAUAAAAGGAAGAACUCGAGGUUGAAAUCGAGUCAUGAUUAAUGACCGACGUUCACCUUUACCUUGGAUCCACCUGACAGAGCUGCUAUUGUGGCUAGGCCUCGCCAGGCUGCAUGGACCGGUAGCUCGAGCUCCCAGGAGAUUGCGGAAACCGAUUGGACUAGCAACGUAUGCCAGACGUCUGUACUCACCGCCGCUCCCUUCUUUAGGCAGAGAGCCGAAGAAGAGUCAUCAGAUGAUGAUAAGGAACGUGUGAUAAAGGGAUGAUAUGACGUCAUCAGCAGCCAUCACAGUAUGAAAGGGACAGGACAGCUGAAGGUACACAGGAUGAGAUGGGUUCACAACCUGUAGUCCAGGGCUUCAGAGUGUUUCUGAGAAGGUCAUGACCCCCAGAGUGUAACCUGGACAAACAUCUCUGACGGAGUCUUCUGGCUGCAGAGGGAAAUGGAAUGUUCCUUUUUGUUUUAGUUUUUUUAUGUCCUGAUAUGUUUUCUCAGAGUAGAACCUAACUAACCCUAACUAACCCUAACCCUAACUCAAUGUUAGGGUUAGGGUUACUUGUCAUUUAGAGGAUUAUAUAAAUGGAAUUUACCCUAUAAGCUGUUAGAAAUAUACUGCCUGGUUCAUUUUGGUGUACUGCAAUAUGUACAACAAUGUAAUGAAAGAUCUCCAUACAUUAAUGAGGAACUGUAGGGGAAUCUGUUAUAACAAUUUUGCUGUUUAAUCAUUUUUCAUUCUCCCUCCUAAAUCAUGGCUAUAAAUAGACUCAAAUAAAGGAUUACUGACUUAAAUACAAACUACUGAACAAAAAUAUAAAUGCAACAUGCAUUCAUUUCUAAGAUUUUACUGAGUUACAGUUCAGAUAAGGAUAUCAGUUAAUUGAAAUAAACAAAUUAGGCACUAAUCUAUAGAUUUCAGUAGUAGUACUGGCAGUAGGAAUGCAGAUAUGCAUCUGUUGGUCACAGAUACCUUAAAGAAAAGGUAGGGGCAUGGAUCAGAAAACCAGUCAGUAUCUGGUGUGACCACCAUUUGCCUCAUGCAGCACAACACAUCUCC
Salmo salar (Atlantic salmon) is the source of this 1606-nucleotide long non-coding RNA. RefSeq lists it as uncharacterized. NCBI's taxonomy places the organism in Eukaryota, Metazoa, Chordata, Actinopteri, Salmoniformes, Salmonidae. The record is from RefSeq and is a predicted model, not a curated record.